UACGGAGGGAGCUAGCGUUGUUCGGAAUUACUGGGCGUAAAGCGCGCGUAGGCGGCUUUGUAAGUUAGAGGUGAAAGCCCGGGGCUCAACUCCGGAAUUGCCUUUAAGACUGCAUCGCUUGAAUCCGGGAGAGGUGAGUGGAAUUCCGAGUGUAGAGGUGAAAUUCGUAGAUAUUCGGAAGAACACCAGUGGCGAAGGCGGCUCACUGGACCGGUAUUGACGCUGAGGUGCGAAAGCGUGGGGAGCAAACAGG
Molecule: ribosomal RNA, 253 nt
Filed under: uncultured bacterium
Lineage: Bacteria
Description: partial 16S ribosomal RNA
Rfam family: Bacterial small subunit ribosomal RNA
Source: RNAcentral